This is a non-coding RNA of Roridomyces roridus, 110 nucleotides long. Lineage: Eukaryota; Fungi; Basidiomycota; Agaricomycetes; Agaricales; Mycenaceae. The record is from the annotation of a GenBank genome assembly.
GGUUGGAUGGCCGAGUGGUCUAAGGCGCCAGAUUCAGGACCAGCAUCUCUUAGAUGCACGUACAUACUUUCUGGUCUUCACAGGCGUGGGUUCGAAUCCCACUCCAAUCA